GGACGAACGCUGGCGGCGUGCCUAAUACAUGCAAGUUGAGCGCUGAAGGUUGGUACUUGUACCAACUGGAUGAGCAGCGAACGGGUGAGUAACGCGUGGGGAAUCUGCCUUUGAGCGGGGGACAACAUUUGGAAACGAAUGCUAAUACCGCAUAAAAACUUUAAACACAAGUUUUAAGUUUGAAAGAUGCAAUUGCAUCACUCAAAGAUGAUCCCGCGUUGUAUUAGCUAGUUGGUGAGGUAAAGGCUCACCAAGGCGAUGAUACAUAGCCGACCUGAGAGGGUGAUCGGCCACAUUGGGACUGAGACACGGCCCAAACUCCUACGGGAGGCAGCAGUAGGGAAUCUUCGGCAAUGGACGAAAGUCUGACCGAGCAACGCCGCGUGAGUGAAGAAGGUUUUCGGAUCGUAAAACUCUGUUGGUAGAGAAGAACGUUGGUGAGAGUGGAAAGCUCAUCAAGUGACGGUAACUACCCAGAAAGGGACGGCUAACUACGUG
Molecule: ribosomal RNA, 498 nt
Filed under: uncultured bacterium
Lineage: Bacteria
Description: partial 16S ribosomal RNA
Rfam family: Bacterial small subunit ribosomal RNA
Source: RNAcentral